GAUGAACGCUGGCGGCGUGCCUAAUACAUGCAAGUCGAGCGAACGGACGAGAAGCUUGCUUCUCUGAUGUUAGCGGCGGACGGGUGAGUAACACGUGGAUAACCUACCUAUAAGACUGGGAUAACUUCGGGAAACCGGAGCUAAUACCGGAUAAUAUUAUGAACCGCAUGGUUCAAAAGUGAAAGACGGUCUUGCUGUCACUUAUAGAUGGAUCCGCGCUGCAUUAGCUAGUUGGUAAGGUAACGGCUUACCAAGGCAACGAUGCAUAGCCGACCUGAGAGGGUGAUCGGCCACCUUGGAACUGAGACACGGUCCAGACUCCUACGGGAGGCAGCAGUAGGGAAUCUUCCGCAAUGGGCGAAAGCCUGACGGAGCAACGCCGCGUGAGUGAUGAAGGUCUUCGGAUCGUAAAACUCUGUUAUUAGGGAAGAACAUAUGUGUAAGUAACUGUGCACAUCUUGACGGUACCUAAUCAGAAAGCCACGGCUAACUACGUG
Molecule: ribosomal RNA, 497 nt
Filed under: uncultured bacterium
Lineage: Bacteria
Description: partial 16S ribosomal RNA
Rfam family: Bacterial small subunit ribosomal RNA
Source: RNAcentral